Cercocebus atys (sooty mangabey) is the source of this 817-nucleotide long non-coding RNA. RefSeq lists it as uncharacterized. The transcript is spliced from 2 exons. The record is from RefSeq and is a predicted model, not a curated record. NCBI's taxonomy places the organism in Eukaryota, Metazoa, Chordata, Mammalia, Primates, Cercopithecidae.
GAGACUGAUUCUGAGCAGCAGUUCUGCCUGGCACUGAUUCACUGGCCCUGCCAUGCCCGCGCCACUGUUCCCACUGCUGCUUCGGUUGCUGCUGUCCCGUCUGCUGCUGCCUGUCGCCCGCCUGGCCCGCCAGUACCUCCUGCCCCUGCUGCGCCGAUUGGCCCGCCGCCUGGGCUCCCAGGACAUGCGAGAGGCUUUGCUGGGCUGUUUGCUGUUCAUUCUCAGCCAGCGACACUCGCCAGACGCUGGGGAGGCCUCAAGAGUGGACCGCCUGGAGAGGAGGGAGAGGUUAGGCCCCCAGAAGUGAGGCCACGAGUCCUGGCAGCAGCUGAAUCCACAAAAUGCUUUCUUCUGGAGUAGGAUAAUCCUGGCACCAGCACUGACCGAAGCCUGCCCGGUGGACAGAAGAUAUAGUGAGGGUUGUGCAUGAGAUGGAUCUGCCACAGACAUGCCUCUCCACUCCCAACAGAAAUGUCUUUCUGGAAGAAUGCCUUGCAUCUAGCAUGAAAUCGAUCAUUGCCCCUCUGUUCUCCAGGAGUUCCUCCCAAAGACCACUCCUAAUCACCUCUGGCCUCAGAUGGGAGGGGAACUAACACCCACCCACCCCUGCCGUCCCUGCAAAUUAGAACAUCAAGGUUCCCAAUGCUUAACUGAGGGACAAGUGACAAUUUAGCAGAGAGGAAAGAUUUGAAUCCAGACUGUCUUCCAGACUCAGGACCUACCUUAAAAUAAUAUCUGAGUUCCCUAUGGAGGCAGACCUGCCUGCACAGCCCAGCACUCAGCAAGUGCUCAAUAAAUAUUUGAGUUGAAUUAUUUC